AUUAGAUCACGUAACCAUAUGAUUGAAGCACGCUUUGACCGUCGCCAGGAAGAUGCGUGCUAAUGAUUUGAGAUAAACGUCCACCCAUAUUUCUGUUAGCAAGAUUCAUUUCCGUAGCACAAUACUGCUUAAGGUCAGUAAUUUGAGGGAAUGGAUCAACCCUCUUUCCGCCAGUAGUAGCCAAUCUGGAAAAGGAAGCUUGGAAUGACAUCGAAUCAGCAUCGAUUUCGUCCAUAAACAAUUCUUCAUCUGCAUCUGUUUGAGCUUGUUCAAUAGGCAUUUCGAAUAAUUUGAGGAUACAAGUUAAUAAUGGGAUAAUAAGAUUCUCAUAAAUUGCGUCUGGGGCGAGUACUAGAUCACAAGUAAGAAGUCGCAGUAAUCCAAGAGCACUGAUUUUCCUAUCUAAUGGAAGCGCCAAUUUUUGUGCUUGAGGAAGAAUAAUUGAAGUCAUCAAUUGGCCAAAUACUCCAGACUGGACUGCAUCAACACCUUGGAUCAAAUUAUCUGGGCCGCAAGUACCCGUUUGCUCAGAAGCAACAAAAAAGAAGAAAAUCGUGCAUCGCAGAACGAAACGCUCAGUCCUCGAGUUUUUUAAUCUGCUUAACAGCAAAAAGAAUAUGUGGUUGAUAUAAGGCGCAAGUAUGUUAGCAUUGAAAACUGUGAAAACUCGGUCCAAGAGAUCAAACCCAAAAUGAUCAUUAACCUUUGAAGAAAUCAAUUUUUGGAAAAUUCCCAAAACCGGUUCAACAAACUUAUUGGAAAUAAAUAUCUGAGGACCACGAAAUAUCAUUGCCCGUAAUAGGCGAACUAAGGCAGGUAUAUUACCCUUUGAAUCCCAUAAAGCUGGAGAUAAACACGGCUGUAUGAGAUUGACAACAAAGUCAGGAAGAGGUUCAUUGCCACUAGCUUCAACUAAUUGAGAUAGCAGUUGUAGGACAUACGGAAUAAACUCAGUAACAUCUUCUAUAAGCACAUUUUGAAAGACUGGAAGUAGGGCAUUUUCCAGUUGAGAGACGGUUUGGGGACCAGAUUUAGAUAAACUACGAAUAAGUGCACCAAUAGAUUCGAAGAGAUAGUGGUUAAAUUUUGGAUUGGAAGGAUUCUUGCUAACCUCUUCCGUAAUUUUUGU
Molecule: non-coding RNA, 1129 nt
Organism: Schizosaccharomyces pombe (fission yeast)
Lineage: Eukaryota; Fungi; Ascomycota; Schizosaccharomycetes; Schizosaccharomycetales; Schizosaccharomycetaceae
Source: the annotation of a GenBank genome assembly